RNAcentral lists this ribosomal RNA (229 nucleotides) under uncultured bacterium. RNAcentral describes it as "partial 16S ribosomal RNA". It matches the Rfam family "Bacterial small subunit ribosomal RNA", at positions 568 to 796 of the family's 1533-position model. The record is from RNAcentral.
UACGCAGGCGGAAAAUUAAGUCAGUGGUGAAAUCCUGCAGCUUAACUGUAGGACUGUCAUUGAUACUGGUUUUCUUGAAUAUAGUUGAGGUAGGCGGAAUGUGUAAUGUAGCGGUGAAAUGCUUAGAUAUUACACAGAACACCGAUUGCGAAGGCAGCUUACUAAGCUAUGAUUGACGCUGAGGUACGAAAGCGUGGGGAGCGAACAGGAUUAGAUACCCUGGUAGUCC